UCCCUGGUGGCUCAGAUGGUAGAGAAUCUGCCUGCAAUGCAGGAGACCUAGGUUCGAUUCCUGGGUUGGGAA
This 72-nucleotide transfer RNA is filed under the name Bos taurus (domestic cattle). It matches the Rfam family "tRNA". Rfam says of the family: Transfer RNA (tRNA) molecules are approximately 80 nucleotides in length. RNAcentral also lists the same sequence under 3 other names. Lineage: Eukaryota; Metazoa; Chordata; Mammalia; Artiodactyla; Bovidae. The record is from Rfam by way of RNAcentral.